UUCUCUCUCUCUCUCUCUCUCUCUCUCUCUGUGUGUGUGUGUGUGUGAGAGAGAGAGAGAGAGAGAGAGAGAGAGAG
Podarcis lilfordi (Lilford's wall lizard) is the source of this 77-nucleotide non-coding RNA. The record is from the annotation of a GenBank genome assembly. Lineage: Eukaryota; Metazoa; Chordata; Lepidosauria; Squamata; Lacertidae.